This 427-nucleotide ribosomal RNA is filed under the name uncultured Chitinophaga sp. RNAcentral's name for it is "bacterial SSU rRNA". It matches the Rfam family "Bacterial small subunit ribosomal RNA", at positions 138 to 563 of the family's 1533-position model. Lineage: Bacteria; Pseudomonadati; Bacteroidota; Chitinophagia; Chitinophagales; Chitinophagaceae. The record is from RNAcentral.
GGGGGAUAGCCCUGGGAAACUGGGAUUAAUACCGCAUAUUAUUCUGAUUAAUAAAGGAUUGGAAUGAAAGUUCAGGCGGUCAGAGAUGGGUGUGCGUCUGAUUAGCUAGUUGGUGGGGUAACGGCCUACCAAGGCGAUGAUCAGUAGGGGGCGUGAGAGCGUGGUCCCCCACACGGGUACUGAGACACGGACCCGACUCCUACGGGAGGCAGCAGUAAGGAAUAUUGGUCAAUGGGCGAAAGCCUGAACCAGCCAUCCAGCGUGCAGGAAGAAGGCCCUAUGGGUUGUAAACUGCUUUUAUCAGGGAAGAAACCUCUGGAUUCACUCCGGAGCUGACGGUACCUGAAGAAUAAGCACCGGCUAACUCCGUGCCAGCAGCCGCGGUAAUACGGAGGGUGCGAGCGUUAUCCGGAAUUACUGGGUUUAA